RNAcentral lists this ribosomal RNA (253 nucleotides) under uncultured bacterium. Its description in RNAcentral is "partial 16S ribosomal RNA". It matches the Rfam family "Bacterial small subunit ribosomal RNA", at positions 524 to 776 of the family's 1533-position model. The record is from RNAcentral.
UACGUAGGGUGCAAGCGUUGUCCGGAAUUAUUGGGCGUAAAGAGCUCGUAGGUGGCCUGUCGCGUCGGCUGUGAAAACUCGGGGCUCAACUCCGAGCUUGCAGUCGAUACGGGCAGGCUAGAGUUCGGCAGGGGAGACUGGAAUUCCUGGUGUAGCGGUGAAAUGCGCAGAUAUCAGGAGGAACACCGGUGGCGAAGGCGGGUCUCUGGGCCGAUACUGACGCUGAGGAGCGAAAGCAUGGGUAGCGAACAGG